Molecule: ribosomal RNA, 252 nt
Filed under: uncultured bacterium
Lineage: Bacteria
Description: partial 16S ribosomal RNA
Rfam family: Bacterial small subunit ribosomal RNA
Source: RNAcentral
UACGUAGGGCGCAAGCGUUAUCCGGAAUUAUUGGGCGUAAAGAGCUUGUAGGCGGUUUGUCGCGUCUGCUGUGAAAUUUCGGGGCUCAACCCCGAACUUGCAGUGGGUACGGGCAGACUAGAGUGUGGUAGGGGAGACUGGAAUUCCUGGUGUAGCGGUGAAAUGCGCAGAUAUCAGGAAGAACACCCGUGGCUAAGGCGGCUCUCUGGACGGUACUGACGCUGAGGAGCGAAAGCGUGGGUAGCGAACAGG